This 494-nucleotide ribosomal RNA is filed under the name uncultured bacterium. RNAcentral describes it as "partial 16S ribosomal RNA". It matches the Rfam family "Bacterial small subunit ribosomal RNA", at positions 28 to 507 of the family's 1533-position model. The record is from RNAcentral.
GACGAACGCUGGCGGCGUGCUUAACACAUGCAAGUCGAACGGAAAGGCCUGCUUUCCCUUGUGGAUUGCGGGUACUCGAGUGGCGAACGGGUGGGUAACACGUGAGUGAUCUGCCCCCAACUUGGGUAUAAGCCUGGGAAACUGGGUCUAAUUCCCGAUAGGACUGCAGGGUGGUGCCUGUGGUGGAAAACGAUUUUCUAGUGGUUGGGGAUGAGCUCGCGGCCUAUCAGCUUGUUGGUGGGGUAAUGGCCUACCAAGGCGGCGACGGGUAGCCGGCCUGAGAGGGUGGACGGCCACAUUGGGACUGAGAUACGGCCCAGACUCCUACGGGAGGCAGCAGUGGGGAAUAUUACACAAUGGGCGGAAGCCUGAUGCAGCGACGCCGCGUGGGGGAUGACGGCCUUCGGGUUGUAAACUCCUUUCGACCGCGAGGAAGCCACCUGGUUGGAAGGGUGGUGACGGUAGUGGUAGAAGAAGCACCGGCUAACUACGUG